AUGACGACACAACCCAUCAACACAUUAAGUUGGAAAGUCCAUGGGCUAAACUGCCCAGCUUGGAGGGCAACGGUUUGUGCAACGAGUGCCGCCUCCUCAUGCCAGCUCGUCUAUCUACAAGAGACAAAGCUCGAUAGCGUCGAUAAAUUUGUCGCUGCCUUCCUGGGUGGCAACAGACUUCAAAGCUUUGCACAACGCCCAACAUUAGGGACUAGGGGAGGAAUUCUACUCUAUGGGAUGAAAGUUCUCAACGUCUCCGAUAUCACCACAUCGACCUAUUGCCUCUCUUUUCAUGGUCUGUAUCCGUGCAACCGACGUCUGCUUUAGGGUCACGUCCGUAUAUUGGAUAACCGAUCACGCUUGCAAAGAUGUUUUUUUGUAGAGCUCAUAUCCCAAAAGCCUCCCAAUGGGAUUGCAUGGCUGGCCCUUGGGGAUUUCAACCAAAUUUACCGCGCACAAGACAAAAAUGAGAGAAAAUUUAACCGGAGUAGGAUCAAUCGCUUCUGGGCUGUGCUACAAUCUUGCGAGCUCAAGGAAAUUCACCUACAAAAUAGGCACUUCAUUUGGAGUAAUGAGCGGGACAACCCAACUCUUUGCAAGCUCAACUCCUUCUUCUAUAAUGCGGAGCGGGAUAUGGCCUUCAACACCCAUGUGCUAAAUGCUUUGUCGUCUUCCCUCUCCGACCAUUGCCCCCUCCUGCUUGCGGAUGACAAAGGGCCUAGAAGGCCAAGAUCUUUCAAGUUCGAAAACUUCUGGGCUUCUUUGCACGGCUUCCCUGAGGUGGUGAAAAAGGCAUGGGAUGAGCAUGUCAGGCACUCGGAGUUGUACCAAGUCCUAUACCACAAGCUCAAAAAACCCGCGACCCGGCUUACUGAGUGGAGCAAGAACCUGUUCUCCAAGGCAAAGGUCCAACUCCAUGCAGCCCUACUUGUGAUUCUCCACCUCAACAUUGCGCAAGAGGCGAGGGCCCUUUCUCUAGAGGAAUGUGACAUACACUCAAGGCUCAAGUGGAGGGUGAUCAGUUUGGCGGUACUUGAGAGGACUAGGAAGAGCCAAUGUGCUCGGUUGGCAAACUUGAGGCAUAGGGAUGCAAACAGAAAAUUCUUCCACCGCCACAUCAAUGCCAGAAGAAGGAAGAAUCACCAUUCACCGGAUUAA
This 1158-nucleotide ribosomal RNA is filed under the name Triticum aestivum (bread wheat). Its description in RNAcentral is "partial small subunit ribosomal RNA". Lineage: Eukaryota; Viridiplantae; Streptophyta; Magnoliopsida; Poales; Poaceae. The record is from RNAcentral.